RNAcentral lists this transfer RNA (92 nucleotides) under Candidatus Liptonbacteria bacterium. RNAcentral's name for it is "tRNA-Ser". It matches the Rfam family "tRNA". Rfam says of the family: Transfer RNA (tRNA) molecules are approximately 80 nucleotides in length. Their secondary structure includes four short double-helical elements and three loops (D, anti-codon, and T loops). Lineage: Bacteria; Candidatus Liptoniibacteriota. The record is from RNAcentral.
GGAGAGGUGGCUGAGUGGCCGAAAGCACCACACUGCUAACGUGGCAAGGGCUUUAAAACCCUUCGAGGGUUCGAAUCCCUCCCUCUCCGCCA